RNAcentral lists this small RNA (102 nucleotides) under Arabidopsis thaliana (thale cress). RNAcentral's name for it is "ATSL051350". The record is from RNAcentral. Lineage: Eukaryota; Viridiplantae; Streptophyta; Magnoliopsida; Brassicales; Brassicaceae.
GAUUUCUCUUUCAUUGUGUUCUCCGAGAUUCAAUCUUCUUAACACAACAAGCAGGAGACUAGGUUUGUCUAGAAACUGUAGAACUCUGCGAAUCAGUUGUUC